CAGCCGCCACGGGAAUACGGAGGGUGCAAGCGUUAAUCGGAAUUACUGGGCGUAAAGCGCACGCAGGCGGUUUGUUAAGUCAGAUGUGAAAUCCCCGGGCUCAACCUGGGAACUGCAUUUGAAACUGGCAAGCUAGAGUCUCGUAGAGGGGGGUAGAAUUCCAGGUGUAGCGGUGAAAUGCGUAGAGAUCUGGAGGAAUACCGGUGGCGAAGGCGGCCCCCUGGACGAAGACUGACGCUCAGGUGCGAAAGCGUGGGGAGCAAACAGGAUUAGAUACCCCCGUAGUCCCUGUCCUUAUACA
Molecule: ribosomal RNA, 301 nt
Filed under: uncultured bacterium
Lineage: Bacteria
Description: partial 16S ribosomal RNA
Rfam family: Bacterial small subunit ribosomal RNA
Source: RNAcentral